RNAcentral lists this ribosomal RNA (253 nucleotides) under uncultured bacterium. RNAcentral describes it as "partial 16S ribosomal RNA". It matches the Rfam family "Bacterial small subunit ribosomal RNA", at positions 524 to 776 of the family's 1533-position model. The record is from RNAcentral.
UACAGAGGGGGCAAGCAUUGUUCGGAAUUACUGGGCGUAAAGGGCGCGUAGGCGGCCUGCUAAGUCGAACGUGAAAUCCCCGAGCUCAACUCGGGAACUGCGUCCGAUACUGGCAGGCUUGAAUCCGGGAGAGGGAUGCGGAAUUCCAGGUGUAGCGGUGAAAUGCGUAGAUAUCUGGAGGAACACCGGUGGCGAAGGCGGCAUCCUGGACCAAUAUUGACGCUGAGGAGCGAAAGCCAGGGGAGCAAACGGG